UCCUCUCCUUUAUCCUCUGUGUGCUGUUUU
This 30-nucleotide non-coding RNA is filed under the name Rattus norvegicus (Norway rat). The record is from RNAcentral. Lineage: Eukaryota; Metazoa; Chordata; Mammalia; Rodentia; Muridae.